This 28-nucleotide non-coding RNA is filed under the name Mus musculus (house mouse). RNAcentral also lists the same sequence under 13 other names. Lineage: Eukaryota; Metazoa; Chordata; Mammalia; Rodentia; Muridae. The record is from RNAcentral.
CGACUCUCGGCAACGGAUAUCUCGGCUC